This 638-nucleotide ribosomal RNA is filed under the name uncultured bacterium. RNAcentral describes it as "bacterial SSU rRNA". It matches the Rfam family "Bacterial small subunit ribosomal RNA", at positions 91 to 730 of the family's 1533-position model. The record is from RNAcentral.
GCGACCGGCGCACGGGUGAGUAACGCGUAUGCAACCUGCCCUUCACAGGGGGAUAACCGGGAGAAAUUCCGACUAAUACCGCAUACGUCCUCCGGGGGCAUCCCCUGGGGAUGAAAGAUUUAUCGGUGAAGGAUGGGCAUGCGUGAUAUUAGGUAGUUGGCGGGGCAACGGCCCACCAAGCCCACGAUAUCUAGGGGUUCUGAGAGGAAGGUCCCCCACAUUGGUACUGAGACACGGACCAAACUCCUACGGGAGGCAGCAGUGAGGAAUAUUGGUCAAUGGACGAGAGUCUGAACCAGCCAAGUCGCGUGAAGGAAGACGGAUCUAUGGUUUGUAAACUUCUUUAGUGCGGGAACAAAGCGGCGUCGUGACGCCGGAUGAGUGUACCGCAAGAAUAAGCAUCGGCUAACUCCGUGCCAGCAGCCGCGGUAAUACGGAGGAUGCGAGCGUUAUCCGGAUUUAUUGGGUUUAAAGGGAGCGCAGGCUGCGAGGCAAGUCAGCGGUCAAAUGUCGGGGCUCAACCCCGGCCUGCCGUUGAAACUGUCCUGCUAGAGUUCGAGUGAGGUAUGCGGAAUGCGUUGUGUAGCGGUGAAAUGCAUAGAUAUGACGCAGAACUCCGAUUGCGAAGGCAGCAUACC